This is a non-coding RNA of Bos taurus (domestic cattle), 71 nucleotides long. Lineage: Eukaryota; Metazoa; Chordata; Mammalia; Artiodactyla; Bovidae. The record is from Rfam.
UCCCCGGUGGUCCAGUGGCUAAGACUCUGCUCCCAAUGCAGAGGGCCUGGGUUCGAUCCCUAGUCGGGGAA